GACGAACGCUGGCGGCGUGCUUAACACAUGCAAGUCGAACGGAAAGGCCCUGCUUUUGUGGGGUGCUCGAGUGGCGAACGGGUGAGUAACACGUGAGUAACCUGCCCUUGACUUUGGGAUAACUUCAGGAAACUGGGGCUAAUACCGGAUAGGAGCUCCUGCUGCAUGGUGGGGGUUGGAAAGUUUCGGCGGUUGGGGAUGGACUCGCGGCUUAUCAGCUUGUUGGUGAGGUAGUGGCUUACCAAGGCUUUGACGGGUAGCCGGCCUGAGAGGGUGACCGGCGACAUUGGGACUGAGAUACGGCCCAGACUCCUACGGGAGGCAACAGUGGGGAAUAUUGCACAAUGGGCGGAAGCCUGAUGCAGCAACGCCGCGUGCGGGAUGACGGCCUUCGGGUUGUAAACCGCUUUCGCCUGUGACGAAGCGUGAGUGACGGUAAUGGGUAAAGAAGCACCGGCUAACUACGUG
RNAcentral lists this ribosomal RNA (468 nucleotides) under uncultured bacterium. Its description in RNAcentral is "partial 16S ribosomal RNA". It matches the Rfam family "Bacterial small subunit ribosomal RNA", at positions 28 to 507 of the family's 1533-position model. The record is from RNAcentral.